Molecule: non-coding RNA, 1499 nt
Organism: Cucurbita pepo subsp. pepo (vegetable marrow)
Lineage: Eukaryota; Viridiplantae; Streptophyta; Magnoliopsida; Cucurbitales; Cucurbitaceae
Source: RefSeq, a predicted model, not a curated record
UAUCCAUUUUUUUAAUAAUUAUUUAAAAUAUAAAUUACGUCGUCGAGGUUACACUUUCUCCGUUCGUUUCUUCCUCGGAAUUCUGUGCGAUUGUGUUUCUCUCUAUGCGUCUCAUUCCAUGGCGUUUUCUGUGCAUUCCAGAGCAAGAAGUACUACACUAAGGUGCUGAGGCUGUCGGAAUCAUUCAGUGGUAUCAAGGAUGUUAAUCUGCAGUUGGCAGCAACCUCUUCAAAGGAACUUGUUGAAGAUCCUCUGAAAUCAGUAGAGCAAUCCAAGCGCUGGAAGAUUAAGAGUUGCUAUGGUGAUAUUGGCUUUCAGUACAGAAACGAUGAGACGAUUGCUUACGUCGCCUCCCGUUCUUAACGAGGCCUAAAGAACUUGCCACUUAUUCAUGGUUAUGACAGCAUUCAGGCGCUUAACAAAGAUAUUAGUAAGUGAGAGAGAGAACAUGACCUUGUUAUUGCUUCUUAUGCACUUGGAGAGAUACCGUCAUUGAAGGACAGGGUAACCACUGUACGCCAGCUUUGGAAUCUCACGAAAGAUGUUCUGGUCUUGGUUGAACCUAGAACACCUCAUGGAUCUAAUAUCAUAUCUCGAAUCCGAUCUAAUAUAUUAUGGAUGGAAAAAAAGGAAAUGGUAUAAAUCUGAAAACAACAAGAAUAUGUCUUCUAAGGACUUAGUAACUCAAAAAUGCGGUGCAUAUGUAGUUGCUCCUGUGAGUAUAACAGGUUCUUUCUCUGUUCUCUUGGUUUUAUAAUUUUGAAAUACUCCACCCCUACUUACCUUUUUUGAUAUAUGUAUAAUUUUUUCCUCGGUACUAAUCUGCUUAAUAUUCUGUACUUGCUUCUAUCUUUCUAAUCAGUGUCCUCAUGAUGGAAAAUGUCCAUUAGAGAAUUCUGGGAAGUAUUGCCAUUUUGUUCAGUGGUUGGAGAGGACAUCUACGCAAUGAGCUUACAAGAGGAUCUAAUAAAGUUGAACACACAAGAUAUUGUUCCAUACCAAGAAGUGGAUCCCGAUACAUAUGAUUCUGAUGUCAUGGAAACUGAAACUCUUGAUGAAGAUGGAGAAGAGGGAGGAGAGGAACAAGGAGAUUAAGCGCUUGCUGAUCUUGGUGGUGGUUGGGGCAGGAUUGUAUUUUCACCAAUUCGAAGGGGCAGGCAUGUAUCGAUGGAUAUUUGUCGAUCGACAAAACUGGAUGCCUCGGAGGGAUCGUUGAGCGAGUCAUUGUAACACAGAGUAAGAAUCCUACUUCACAUCAUCAAGCUCGAAGAAGAAGUCUAGAGUUAAACCGUUCACACAUUGAUUUGGAGGGUCAAAUCAAGUCAUGGAUGGCUCAUUUGAUCAAGAGCACGUGUCUUAACCAGUCGAGUUAUGAGUCAUGCUUGGGUUGACACUGAUGACUCGUUGUCUGGUUGCCGGCUGAGUAGCUGUUGAUAAGAAUCAUCUUCAACCUCUUCAAUUCUCUCUCCAUUUUCAGAACAAUUCCACGACCCUUCAUA